Long non-coding RNA from Tympanuchus pallidicinctus (lesser prairie-chicken), 13600 nucleotides. RefSeq lists it as uncharacterized. NCBI's taxonomy places the organism in Eukaryota, Metazoa, Chordata, Aves, Galliformes, Phasianidae. The transcript is spliced from 4 exons. The record is from RefSeq and is a predicted model, not a curated record.
CCGCAUGGCUCAGCAAUGCGAGUCAUCCUGUGUUCCCAGUGCCCACUGGGACAGCUGUCUGUUGAUGUAGCGCUAUAGCUUCAUCUUUUUUUUUCUUUUUUUUUUCUAACUGACAUUCAGAUGACUGCAGGGUGCUGGGAAGGGUAAGUGGCUUAUGUACAGUACUUGGAGUCAUACCUUCCUGAUAAGAGGAUUGUGACCCCUUAAGUCUUGGAAAGCCAUUCUUUUCAUUGCUAUUUAUUCUGGGAUGAUAAACAGUUUUAGGGGAAAGGACUCUUCUCAUCAUGAUGACUGUCUUCUAUAUUUGAUCGCAGGAAUUUUCUGAAAGGAUUACUAAACCAAAAUGAUGUCUCUGGUGCUUUUUAGCCUAUGACAUGAGAAGUUACAGUCAGUGUAACAUGUUGCAACAGCAAACUUUGCAUUUUUCUGGGACACUGACAGUGAUCGUAAGCAAAAUAAUGAAUUAUAUCAUGUGCCAAAAAAGUAAAACUAAUGCUGUUUUCUCAGAGCAUAUUUUUCAUUUGAAUGCAAGAGAACAGGUGCACUGUUCAGUUGUUCAGGACUUGUUCAGUUUUGGUGGUUGAGUUACAGAAAUAAAUGGUUAUUGGGUGUGUUUGGGGUACAAGGAGUUAUGGAGUACUUUGGAAAAAAUAAAGAGGUUUUCUUGUGUCAUAAAUCAGAACAGCCUGGAAGGAGGAGAAUGAAUGCCAGCAGAAAGCAAUCUUACAACAGGUUCAAGCACUAAUUUCAGCAAUAAGAGUGUAGAUAAACGCCAAGAAAAUCAGUUCUGCAGUGCUAAGAGACUCUAUCCGGUGGGGCACAAGCAGGACAAGUCACCUGGCUGAAACAAGUCAGUCUCAGGUACUUCCUGUGCAACAUGUACAUAGAGCUCCACUGCAUUAAGAUCUAGCUAUCUUGGGUGUUGUUUAUCUCAUUAGCAUCAUUAGCAUGCUAUGUUCAUGACACUGACCUUUCAAGGUGUCUCUCCUCUGAACUAUUUACCAGUAAUGUGAGUACAUCCAAACUUGCCUUCUAGUGCCCAUCAUACCUAUGCCCUCCCUUUCCCUGAAAUGAAGCUGGACAUCAGGUGGUUCCCUUACUACUCAGAAUAUAUAUGACAUUAGAGGAUGAGCUCCAGAACUAAAAUAGAGUAUGUGGCAGCUCAAGAGACUUUUGGAACAUUUUUUUCCAAACCGAAGUGGAGCCAGGAUAUCAUUCCCAGAGAGUGGUAUGUCCUGAAUCACUGCAGGGCCCUUUCUUGCAGCAGCAUUGUGCUCCUGCUAUGUGUCUCUGUGAUCAGAGGCAGCUCUGCUUAGCUUUUUCUUGUCCGUAAAUGUGCAGCAACAGAUUAUCUUGCUCUGUAUUAUUCUGUGAAUCUUCUAUGGGAGAUCUGCAACCCUAGUAGAAUGGCUGAAAAGAUCACUUCUUGUUUAUUGGUAACAGAUCACAGCAGAGAACUGACAGCCUGGUAUAUAAAACUAGACCAGCAAAACUUAUCCAAGACAGUGUAAGCGGGUAGAUCUUUCUCUGCAAAUGGCCAGUGAAUCCAGAGCCCACAUGAGCUUAACAUCUCAGUGUUCCAAAGGGAAACACUGACCCACUUCUCACAUCAAGCUGCCAAAAAAAAAUCCAGCCACAUGUAACAAUUAAAGCAUCCAGUCUCUGCUGACUAUGGAGAACCAGAAAUAAAAGUGAGUCUUCCUUGAUAAUCCUGAGUUGCUGUGUAAAAACACAAAACAAAAAAAAAACAAAAACAAAAAAGCCCCAUACAUAAAACUGCUGUAACAAAGGGUUACAAUCUAAACUGACCAAAUGCAAUGCUCGUAAGCUGAAUGUCAUGUGAACCAAGAUAAUUAUUCUGAGAUAGCUGAUAUGAACCUGUGCAUUUUUACUAAGACUCUAGCCCUGUUGCUUAUUGCUAUUGCUUAAUGUUAGAAGGUGAAGUAGCAUAAUGAGCUUGCAGCCUUGUGCUGGGCUGUAACCACGUAAUCCCCUUUCAACAAGUGAUUUCUUGCAUCUCUGUUAAGGUAGUAAUAGCAGAUGGUCAGUGGGAGAUGUGUAACAGGAAUCUGGAAAACACUUGCUGGUCUGCUAACGGAUCUGCAAUGAGCUGCAAGGUGAAGGCAAUUUAUAUUGCCACAAGAACUUUGCAGAAGAAAACACAAAAAGGCAGCAGGCCCAUUCCCAGAUAUCAAAAGAGGAGUUGUCAGAGCAGUGUAAAGAAUGCUUGUAAGUAAUUUUUAAAGUUGUUAAUAGUAGAGGGAAAGCUUUAUGUGUGAUACAAACAAUAUUACACUUCCUGUCAAGUGUAUCACCAUUGUGUUUUCAGUGUUGUCACUAUCCCAGCCAACAGGCACCUCCCAGCCCUCUGCCCUUGGCUCUGCCCUUGCACCCAAGGUGUUGCCUUGUGCGGUGCCUGGCUGUCUCUGGCAUCUCCUGCUGCUAGAUAGGCAAGGCAGGCAGGCAGCAGGGGCUAGAAAGUGCUUGUGCACUGCAGAGGGCAUGAAUCCAGCAACCCAUGUUCUGUGAGUGUGCAGCCAUGGGUAUUGCAUACCCAAAGAUACUCCUAAGGAACAGUAACCCACAGCUUUCUCCUUCAGUGUGCAAUGGCUUUUUUCUUUCUCUGAGUGCACAUUCAUACGUUACACAUAUUCAUACACAAUGGAGCACUAACUCAUAAUAUAUUGCAGUAACUGUUUUUCUUUCUCUAUUUUGACUGUUUGUUUUCCAUAAAAGGCAGGAAUGUAUUUAUCUAGCAAAUAAACUCUGUGAUAAUUUAUCAUCACCAUGCAGUUUGGGUAUAUCGCUCAAUCCCCUCACUUUUUCAGCACUCUGGUAUAUAUGUAUGUUUGAUUAAUUUAAAUGAUCAAGGAAUUAUUAUAUCACCUGUUUAAACCAAUUUUGAGACUUCUCAUAAAUGUAUCUUUCUUUGGGUAAAAUGUUGAAGAGAAACAAACUAUCUCCUUAGGAAAACAAACGAGAUUUCACCAAGGUACGCAAAGUUUGUUUUAACUACAAAAUCAGAGUAUAAGAAAUUAAUAAAUUAACAGUGGGAUGGGAUUAUAAUUCAGUUUGUUCAUAUUAGCUGUUAACAAAGCAAAGAAGUUACAGUCUGGGAGGUUGCUGAUCUGGGCUUCAUAGCGCUCUGGUGAAACCCAAACCAGCAGUGAGUGAUUGCAUCACUUACUGUAGUGCUUAAAAAAACCCUGCUCAGAUGACAUUAGGGCUGGGAUUUCCACACAAUCUGAAAAAAUCAGUGAUUUAUAUUUAAAAGCAAGGGAUUGGAAUGUAUCUGAGACCUUGAGCUCUAUCACAAUUGCACUUGUGCAGUACAUGUGAAUCUAGCUAGUUCACCAGAAUGGUUCUCAGUUAAGCAGCAAAGUGCAGCUUAAGGCACCAGAACAGUUAUCUGUCAGAAGGGUUAUCUGCUGGCUGCACACUCGGCCUUCAGUCAGCAAUGUUGGUCAAGUUCUGUGUAUCCAGAACCUGUGCCAAUGUUAUAUUCACGUAACAUCUUACUACGUUUUUAUGUGCUCAGCUGUGGCAACAGGGUUUGUUUGUGCCAGUAUGGAGUUGUAAAAAAGGUUUAUGCCAUUCAUAAAUACUGCAGAACAACUUCAAUCAGUCAGAAAAGGAAAGCUAGAGGGAUGCAGAACAAGUUUUCAGCUAUACAACGUGAGAGUACUUUGAAAUCCUGGUCAUGUUGAUAAUCCAGCAGGUAUCCAGGCUGGCAACUGCUCUGCAGUGAAGCACAUUUAGUGCUUUUGACUAGCAAUGGAGAAUUCAGCUUCACUCCAAAGUGACAUUUUCUGCCUUUCCCUCAGUGUUUUAUUUUGAAUUUUACACUAUCUUAAAUUAAAGCCUCCCAUACUGAAUCUUGCUCUAUGUUUGCCUGAGACCUUGUAAGUACAGCUGUCCCAAGUAUGAUACCUUUUUUCCUUUGUAAGAGUAAGGGGAUGCUCUAGUUUUGGGUGAUGCAAACAUCUCUCUGAAAUGCUUCAGGAAGAUGUGCCAGAGCUCUUUUGAAUGCUCUCCAGAGUUUCUACUGUUUUAUGUUUGGGCACGACAUUCUACUAGCAUCUAUUUCUCCUUGAAUACUUUCAAGUAUUGCAUCCAAGCACUGCACUUCCUUGUAGCACUGCAUUACAGUAUGCAUUGAAACAAUUAUCUAACAGAAUUCCCAAAUGUCUCUCCAGGCAGAAUAAACUAGGCUAUAGUCAUAACAUGCUAUAGCUGGAAGGACCUUGGGGUAUAAUCUCUUUCCACACCUCUGCUCCAAACAGGGCUGGAACAUAAUACAGACUCACCCACCUUGUCAGACAACCAAGGGUUCUCACCUGGUGACCGCCUGUGGUGUUCCCAUCAGAACAGAAAGAAGAGGUCACUGCAUUCUCUGAUGCUUUGAUCCAGAUCACAGCAUUGUCUUUUUGCUAAGUGAGUGGUCAUUCAAUCCUGCUGAGUAAUCCUGUGCUUUUAUAUCACAUUAUUACAAAGAGAGGAAAGGGCAUCACUUCCCCAUUCAGCAGCAGGAGUGGGAGAGCUAGAGGAAAUCAGAAAUCAUUCAGACCAUUGCCAAGAAACUGCAGCUUGUGCAUGUAGCCCAGUUUUAAUGAGUUAUUUUGUAUUUGGAUUUUGUUUUUCUAAUAUCUUUCUCCAUUUCUCAGUUUGAAGCAGGAAAUGGAAGAGAAAUAAUGAAACAUUUCACAUUCACUGGGGUCCUGGACUUCCUGUGUCCAGGAAGUUUAGGAAAUCUCAGACUGAUGACCAACUUUGCCUGAUUUCCAGCCCAAAUAGAUCUAGGAAAUUCUUUUUUCUCACUUCCAGUGUUCUUGAGCCUUAUUUUCAAAAGGUUGAACUCAUGGUCACAGAGAAACUCAUAUAUUUGCACAUUUUAUUGGCAUAACUAUUGAGUUUGUGCCCCUGUACAGAUGAAUUUGUGAUUGUCCUCACAACUUCCUGUUAGGCUUUCCUCAUUUCGUGUUGGAUCAUAGAAGGCAGAGGAAUUUCCCCCACCCCUCCUUUGAGGUAGGGACAAAAGAUUUCAUUUUAAAAAUAAUUGAUAUUUGUCACCUCCUCUCAGAAGUCAUCACCAGCUGACCCAGAGACCUGCACAGAUGGUAAGAAUAGUUUUCUUGAUGAAACUCAGGCAAUCAAUCAGCAACUAGAGAAAAAUGUUGCUAAUUCAUUCUGAAAAGAGCCAAAACAAAAAGCCGCAUGCUUUUGAAGCUCUACCCAGCAGUUAUAAUGCUAUUGGUAUAUGCUCCACGUGUUUCACUGCAAUGGUCACUUCAUUUUAGAGGUUCACUGCUAUACGCAGUUUCUGUCCCAGAAGCACAAACAGUGAAUUUGUGGUACUAGUGUAGUAAAUCCAAGUAAAUAGAUCCCAAGAAUAUGCUUCCACUCCCUCAGCUUAAUGUCUCAGAUUUUAUGGAAAAUGUUAUAGUUGAUGCUAAUCAUGUUGGAAAUGGUGCUGCUUCCACAAGGCGUUUUGAAGGAGGAAGAGUACAGCCGUAUCAGACAUAAAAUGUUGAUGGCAGGAUGAAAACAUCUUCUCAUUGGAAAUGAAUGUCUGGUAAAAUGAGCUCUCAGAGCAUUGCAGUAUCACUUACAGGAAUACAUGUAGCCGACAAGCAGACCUCCAGCCUGUUGAACCAAGUGAAUUUAAUACAAGUAAAAUUUUGGAACUGUCACUGCCGGUUGAUUAAGAAGUAAAGUCAACUAUUAAACACACUCUGCAAGUGCAGUUAACUUUCUACUUACGAUUUCUGCAACCAGGACAAGUGGGAGAAAAUAGUAGGUUUUACCUUAAGAUGAGAAAUGUGUAGAUGAAUUAGUUCAAGGAUGUGAACUCAUAAGGCUAUAGUACAAGAUUUGAGUUUUACUUUGAAUGUAUUUUUUCAGAAGUGUGGAAUAGUCAUGUAAAGACACUUCAUUUUAGUCAUGUAAAGAUAGAAUUACUAAUUGAUUGCAGCAUUAAAAUGCUCAGAUUUGCAGCAGUCUUUUCCUUUCUGCGUGAGGCACCUGCAAAAACUGCAGCCCAAGAGUUGCUGAGGAAUGUGUAUUGGAUUACCCACUUUUCUGAUCCUGGAAGGGAACAGUCAGAAUGCACAUUUCCACACAAGGUACAAGUUAACAAAAAAGCAGCCUUCACAUUUCAGAUAAGAUGAUGGAAGGAUAUUCACAUUUGUAGCAACUUCUGGAUUUACUGCUUAAUUUUCCACUGACCUUUCAAAAAACUGCUUUUUUUUUCUUCUGAGCUGUAAACAGUGCAUAUGUUCAUUAUAUCCUAGGGCAAGAAAAGACUGUGGAAAAUAGAUGAAACCAAAUCCAAUUUUGCUUUUCUUUAUUACAGAAUUAUUGGUGUAUGCAUAAAAAUAAUGGUUGUGUGUUUAUUUGGUAGCUGGUUGUAACAGAAGUAAGACACUGAGAAAGUUGUUUUUAUUCCUGAGUGGCCAGAAGUAACUCAUAAAUAAUACUGGAAAGAAAAAACUUAGUAUCUCAAGUAAGGGGUUAAAAUGUGUUGCUGUUGUUGUUUUUAAUUACAGUUGUACAUAUGAGAAUGGCACUUGUUAAUCUCUUAUCAAAGGGUUCUAUUUUUCUUUGAUCUAACUAUAAUUUAUUGAGAGCAGUUGCCACAGGCAUCUGUAAUCCAGCAUUAAUCCCUGUAUGCAUUCCAUUCUGUUCUGUGCUGGCCUUUUUCCAUACACUGUGGUGAAUGUAUUCUCCCUUUUGUCUGUAUGUGCAUCUCCCAUUUGUCUCCAUCGGAGACUCAUGUACUCUCAUACACACAGAUUGUCCCCUUGAGUGCAUAUUUUCUUUGUAUUUUAUUUCACGUGUCCAUUAAUUAAUGUGAUUCAUUGCUACCGAGGGAGUUCUCCCUUGUACAUAUUAAUGGAGCCUUCAGAAGUGAGGAAAAAACAAACAUUUUCUUGCUUGUUGUUAUCUGAGAACAAUAGUAGGGACACAUGGUAGCAGCUUUCCCAGAGUGACAGUGUUUCAUCCACAGCUGCAGGAGAUUCUGCCACCUUUAAAUGCCAAGGCAAGUGGGAUGGACAGUUCUGAAGCAGUCCCAUACUUGUCCUGUACUUGCAGGGAGAUGCUGAUCAUUCUUACAUAGAAAAAGAAUUUUGCUUGAGUAGACUGCCCCAAAGCCAUUGAAUUGGCACAGAAUUACUCCAGUGGAAUGUACAUUUCUGAAGAGUAUUUUUAAUGCACUCAGAGACUAAUGUACCCAUUUGUUACUAAAAAUGAAACUAAGCAGCCAUCAGAAAUUGCAAGGAACUCAGGUGUCAGCUUGGCAUCAGUUAACUUCUAGGUUCUCAGCCUGAGUUCUGUAAAUGGCCUCCAAGUUCAUAACGUGGUUACAGUUGUGUGGAAUCACUCCAUGUGGUGUCUCUGGAGAUUUUAAGUGUAAGCCUACAGAUAUGUAACUGAACAGAUGAAUAGUCAAGAAAUUUUAUGACUAAGCUAAAUUACUGCACCAUGUUAAUUGAGUAAUGAUAGCCAUAGCCAUCCAUACGGCCUCCAUGUUAGGCAUACUGACAUGUUGAUCUAGACUGUGACCACUCCAGGCUCCUCAGCUCCCCAGGGUGACUUAUCAUAUAAAGAUCUGCAUGUUGGCUUGGCUUGAAGAAACAUCUGAUGCAGGAAUUUUUUUGCUAUUUCACAUUUUAACAUAGAUUCUUUCCAGAGAUACAACAUAAAGAGAGCCGAUAAAGUUUACAUAGCACAUUCUGAAGACUCCUCACUUCCCCAGUGACAAGUCACUGCUUACCUUUAAGAAGCUCUUUAAAGCUGCUAUCACUAUAUCACAGGUGAACAAGUUUAAAAAAAAAAAAAAAAAAAAAAAAAAAAAGAGGUGUUCAGUAAAAAAAAUAACAUUCAAACUUCUGUUUCAUCUUUAGCACUUUUCUCUCACAUGUCUGUUCCUGUUUCUUAUCUGUGCUAGAGAGCAGAGGCUCAGUGAGGACCAAGACAUGUGACGACACGUGACUCACCUUCACCUGCUUUUCACUCAGGUGGCUUUUCCAUGGGAGACAGUUACAUGUGGCUUGCAUUAGCAGUUUAUGAGCCAGAGAAAAACAUGUACUCCAAAACCUGCAGAAGACUUCCCAUUUUCUUUAUGUUAGAAACUGCCUUUCUGGAUUUAGAGGCCAAAGACCAUCCCAUGUAUUAUGGAUUAUCAACCCUGUCUUGCUCUUUCAGUGCAGACAGUUUUCUGAGGAAGAAACAGGCCAAUGAUGAGCAUGCUUGGAUGAUCUUUCUAGUUAUAGAAGAGAUAGUAGAACUUGAGAAAAUAGACUGAUGUAGAGGAUGGAAGAUCCAACUUCAUCAGAAAUAAUCUUUUAUUGGAAAAUAAGAAGGCGGCAACAAUGAAGAGUUUAAUGAGUACUUUCUCUUAGGCAUGCAUUUUCUUUGAAGUGGUUACUUCGGUGAGAAUUUCUUAACAUAAAACUGGGGACUAAUGCAAGUAUAUUCUAUGCUCCAUUGACUUUUGAUCUGAGAAAAAAAGACACUAUUCAACUUUAAAUAAUCUUAUUUACUUACAGGCUGAACUCAAAUCUGGACUCAUGUUCUUCCCCAGACUGCUGAGGAAUAAAAUCUAUUUUGAGAGGUACCUGAGAAGUAAUGGAAAGCCCACUCUGAACACAGGAAUUGUUUAGUUUCAGCAUUUAUCAGGAGUUUUCUAUCACAGACCACAAGGUGCAUCCUUGUGCAGAAGCAAAUAGCAGCCUGACUGGUUUCUUUAUGAGCUGAUGGUUUCCACUGCCUACUGACAGGCUUUGAAAUACAGAGCGCUAAUCACUGUGUAAGGACAUGCCAAUUUCAUCUUGACAUAAAGCAUAAAUUGCAUAAAUUCAGCCUAUAUAGAGAGUUGAUAAUGUAAGUGAAUUAGCGGAGUAUGGAUUGUUGAAGCAUAAGGAGACUAAUGAACUAUUAGCCACAGACAGAAAUGUUAUCCCAGACAAAAAAAAACAAACAUUAGUAUGCAAUCAGUACAGAAUGACCAAUUGCUGCUAGUAGGGUCUAUAAUUCUGUACCUGUCAGAAUAGUCAAAAAGAGUUUGUUAAACCAAAAUGUUCAAACCUAGAAUUUUACCUUUGAUUUAUAUUCUUGUACUUUCAGCAUUCCAUUCAAGCAAAUAAGUCAAUUUUUUUUAAUAAUGAACUUAUAGUUUUACCUGUUGAUUAUCUGUACCUCAGGUUAUUCUGUUUUUCUCUUUUCAGGUAGUAAGCUAUCCAGUACAUAACUUUCAUGAGUUGAAGGCUAUAUAUACUUAAAGAGUUGUCAGCCCCUUAAGAUGCCAUAAGUGAGUGUGAAGCCUCCCCCAUAAUCAGCUCUUGCCUCGAACUGGCUAAAAACCAGCUGACUGAGCUAGUAUAUCCAAAACAGAUAUGCUGCUAACAGAAAAAGCCCCUGAGCUAUUCUGUUACUACAUACGAGCACCAUCAUUUAAAAACAAAUCCCCAAAUCAUCUGUUAGUCUACACUGAUUUUUGAUAGCCCAAUAACCACAAAAUAGGGGCCACCUUCCCAGUAGAUUGUGCUGUAUCUUUACUGGAUUUGACAGUUUGCCCCAGUUCACUUAGGAUGACAAAUAAACAUUUUACCCUCUCCUUGACCAGCACACAGAAAAUUUAUCUCACUUAUGUCCUGACAGUUGUGAGCAGCCAACCAGUGAGGUGGCUCAUGAAGAGAUAUCAUACAAGGGAGAACAUACUAUAGAAGGUAUCACUAGGUGCAUUAAUGACCACAGACAUCACCAUUUUGAAGUUCACAGCCUGCCUCUGCAUCAGAAGGAGGAGAAUAUUCAUCCAAAGGCAACAGAAUACAAAAACUCAGCCAGAAGAUUUUGCUGACAGGAACAAGAUACUAAUAUCAGUUCUGCUCAGGGAAGAGAGAUGAGAGCAUCUGGAUGAACUUCCUCGAUCAUCUCUUCCUAGUUUGCAAGAACAGCUAGCUUCUAAAUUUUUGUGAGGCUGAAUGACUGUUAUGAUCUCAUCAAUCUUAGCAUGCUUCCUUCCACAUUAGGAUGGCUUGAGCAUGAGGGAUGAAAGGGAAUAACUGCUAACAGUAUCUUCAAAAGGACAUGAAGUUUUCGUUAGACAUAAUAGUCCCAAGGGAGAAAGAGGAAUCAAGUAACUGUGAAAAGUACCAGUCAGAAAUGGACAAACUUAGCUGCUGUGAGGGGCUGAAUGUGGAGCGGGGAACACUCAUCCCCACCAGAGCAAGGCAACACCACCUCCACAGCUGUACUCCCAUAGGGCCACUAGGACCAGGCAAAUUAUGUGGGGUCAGAAGCUCAUGGGGUUUGGGCUGAGGACUAUAACCUCAGCAACUGCUGGCUCUGCCUUCUCUCUGUACAUACAGGGAAUGGAAACCCUUCACACCACAAACUAUUCGCAACUGCAGCUGCUACGUAUUCAUAACAAAUGUCUGAUUGCUAAAAUUGUGUGCUGUAAGCAGUGUCAUCUUUCGUGUCGCAUAGGGACAACUAUGUAUUCUCCUCUGUGGCUGGGAUACUGAGCUGUCACUCUGGAGUCAUCCAGGCUCCUGGGCCAGGAGCUGCUGUUACCAAGCAGGAAGGUCAGGCCCCUGUGGAUGCCUCCUUUUACCCAGGGGCUGGAUUCUAACGUUAUAGGCAUUACCAGACCUUAUAGAUUAUGGAUAGCUUCCAGAGCCAGAUAGCUGCCCCUGCUGCCUCACUGCAUCACAGUCAUUUGCAGCCAGAACUGCAAACCACCCAAAAAACCUCCAGAGUGUACAGUGGUCAGAGUGCAGGCUGGUUACAAAGCGAUGCAUUCCAUGCUUCAGGCCUGGUACAUUCACGUGUGCUGAUCCCUGCACUGCGUGGGAUCCAGAGCCCUUGGGACACUUCACUCCAAGCACAAGUGGGUGGUUGCACAGUUGUUCUGAUCAUGUGUCAUGUUCAGGCACAUGCUGGAUGUCCUGGACUUAAUAAAACAUUUGGAACCAUGUUGCUGCAUGCACAGUGACAACUUGGCUGCGAUUUCCUGGUGCUUAUCAGCCAACUAACUGGGAGGUUUCCUCCUGAAGCAGUAGUCUGUCACACACAGUAACCAAAUCUCAUUGUCCGUCUUUCAUCUUUCUCAAGCUCCAAAUCUAGGUUUGAUGGUCAGUUUUGAACUCAGAACCAAAGGCUCCUUCAGAUGUGAAGGAAGCAUCAUUUGGUUUCUCAGCUUUGUGGCGUAAAAAAUACUGGAGCCCAACUCUACUCCUCUGAGUGGAUGGACACACUGCAUUAUGCAGCAUCUAACUUUAAAAGUUUCUGGAAAAAUUUUUAAAAUGAAGAGAACUCCCACAAGAUUUCCUUCUUGUUUACAGGACAAACGCUCCCAUAAAAUAAAUUCAGCAGCCAAGGGGAGUGGUGGGGGAAGCUGAGCAGCACUCAUCCUUAAUUUGACUAGCAGCCACAUCAGAUGAAAAUGCUCCUAGUGUAUAUGAUGUGUUGUUGUUCCAACUGCGGUCUAUGUGUUGAUGACCAGAUGGACCAGAGCAAGGUUGUGCUGUAGGAUCAGUGCGAAGAGGCACAACAAGGUCUGUUAUCAGAUAAGAGAUAUCUUCUCCUGAAAUGGAGUUUAAUUACGACACGUAGAGGAUCUGAAGUAUGGCUUUCAUGCACAUGGGAAGGAUCCUUCCCCAUUGAUGAUGGUGCUGAAUCUGCAUUUAUGAAUGUUCUGAACAGAUCAUGUUAGGCGGGAAUGAAAUUCAUUCACAAUUACAUUUCAGAAAUCGACACAUGAUUCAGCAUGAGUAGUGCUAUACUAAAAAUAGAAGAAAUGGUGGCUAUGGAAACCAUACAUUACUCUUAGCUAUUCCUCUACUAUUCCUUUUCUAUGUUUCUCUUACAGUCUUUCUAACAGUUCAAGUGAGCUUCUAAUCCACAAUACCAUAUUCCAGCAUUCUACACUCUUCUAAUUAAAUCCCUUCUUACCUUACAUCAUUUAUAUUCUCCAUCUCUCACCUACAUAUUUGGAACCAUUUGAGGAACAGUAAAUAUGUUCAUACCACAACACAAAAGACAUACAUCCACAGGGCUGCAGCCUGUGGGUAAUUCUGAUAUUACUUUACCAAUCAUAGUGUUCUCCUUUAUGACAGCAUGAUUUUAUGUAAUCUAUUAACAUUCAUACCAUAGAUUCUUAAAGCAUUUGGAAACACCUGUACUUGUGGAUUAUUUUCAUAGAACAGUGUAACAGCUUAUGAGAAUACUGAGAUGCUAUUGACCAUCCAAACACAGCAUAAAGAUGUUCAUCACAGAUAUUUAGACUCAUUACAAACUUUACAAGACACCACUGUCUCCUUUUGUUUUAAAUCCCUGGCACCCCCGCACACUGCUAGCAAGCUGUGCUGAACCCACAGGUGUUCCUGCUUAGGAUGCCCACCUGCUGCUCUCCUGGCAGGCAGUGAAAAAGAGGAGGGUAGGGGACAGGUGGGUUGUAUGGAGUGAUCAGCCAGAGAGGAAGUAGCUCUGGGUUUUUAUAGUUACAGUAGUAACCUUCUUACAUCUGAGCUGAAGUAAGUGCUGUCUUUGUUUUGAGCUCUGGUUGAGGGAGAACUUCAUGGGUUGUUUCCUUUGUUAUGUGUCUAAUGGUCAUGUAUAACAGUGCCCCAAAGGAGAUGUGCUUUGAGGUUAUUUCCUGCAUGAGCUGAGAUGUUUUGUGUUUGUAUUUUGUUCUUCAACUUAUUGCCUUUCCCCAGUUUGAUGGACAGAACAGUUACAUAAAAACUUCUAUAACUUUAAACCGCUUGCUGUGCUUUUCCCUAAAGUCUACGGAACAGUCCUGUAAGUGGGAUGGAAGAAAAGAACCCUACAUGCGCUUUUUGAUGGAUCUGCCUUUCUCUGCUGCAGCCUUCUGUAAAAGCCCUGUGUUCACAGUCCAGCCGGGUGGCUGGGCACCUUUGCCAUGCUUCUGAGGGGAAGAAGGGAGAAGUGCUCCUUGUGUUCUGCAGAUCCAAGUGUGGUAGAACCUCAGCAGGGUAGGUUCUGCCUGCUCCUCAUGAAGCUCCAGCAGCUGUGUCCCAGGGCAGGCAGCCUGCCAGCAGUGGUUUCCUGGAUACGUGUCGCUGCAGCUCGUUAUAGGGAGGAUGAAUAAGAGUAACUGUGCUGAUUUCAUCAUUUCCUUCACCUCCUUCAUUUCCUUCACAUCCUGCACCUUCAAAGAAAGCAAUUUGGGAUGGGGAAAACUGUAUGUUUCAGAUACUUGGUUUAACGUGUAGACUGUCAUAAAUGUUAAUAAAUGUAACUUUUAGAAAUCAUGAAUCCCAUGUUGGAGCCAGAUGAUACAGGAGGUCUCUCUGCACAGGCUGUGGAAUUUCUGUACUUUCCACAAGCACAUCUGGGUAGGCUUGGACAUCCCAUCUUUCUAGAUUUUUUUUAUUUUUUAUUUUUUUUUCAAAUUUUAUUAAUCGAUUGCUUGUUCUGACAGAACUUAUUCACUUAAACUUCCAUGUGUGCAUGCCAAUUUGGCAGCAACAGUGAGAUUUAAGAGCAUCUUGCUUGGGGGAGGGGGGAGGGGUAAAGAGUGACAUGCUAAUUUCUAAGUGUUUUGUUCUUGAAUAGUAAAGGCAUGUGACAGCCA